Odontomachus brunneus is the source of this 539-nucleotide long non-coding RNA. RefSeq lists it as uncharacterized. NCBI's taxonomy places the organism in Eukaryota, Metazoa, Arthropoda, Insecta, Hymenoptera, Formicidae. The record is from RefSeq and is a predicted model, not a curated record. The transcript has 3 exons.
AUCUUAUCUUCCUGUUUGUAUGUAAAGCGUGCGUUUUUAGGAAUCCAUCCACGAUUCACCAUGAUAGUCAUGCUGAAAUAAUUAAUGCCACAAUAGAAAAUUAAGGUGACGUCCAGAGGCUCGUCCAUGCUCGGUGCGACGUCCUGUUGCUGCUGAGGGUUGCUCGACAGAUGAUGAAAUAGCGUCGUGACCGGCGGAUGCCUGGUGGUUACGUGAUGGUGUCCCUUCAGAGUGAGGUCCAUCUCAGCUUCCUGCGGCCGCUCCCUCGUCCCUAGGAUGUCGCUUCGGUCCACAGGACUCGCGCAGAUCCUCGGCGGCGUGGCACAUCGGCACUUCAUCCUAUCGGGUGAUUUGUCCAAAGGUACUGAGUAUCUGCAAACACACAACAGCCUUGGAUUAAAUACAGAAGUUCCUCUCACCCUGGUGGCGGCGGCGGCAGGAUCCUGAAGUCCCUGCAGACUGCGGGCGGCACAGGACCGCCGGUGUCGGCUAAUUUGUCGCUCGAGCUCGCGAGGUUCGCACCUGAUGAGGACGACGGC